RNAcentral lists this ribosomal RNA (1491 nucleotides) under metagenome. Its description in RNAcentral is "bacterial SSU rRNA". It matches the Rfam family "Bacterial small subunit ribosomal RNA". The record is from RNAcentral.
AGAGUUUGAUCCUGGCUCAGAUUGAACGCUGGCGGCAUGCCUUACACAUGCAAGUCGAACGGUAACAGGGAGCUUGCUCUGCUGACGAGUGGCGAACGGGUGAGUAAUAUAUCGGAACGUGCCCUGGAGUGGGGGAUAACUAGUCGAAAGAUUAGCUAAUACCGCAUACGAUCUCAGGAUGAAAGUGGGGGAUUCGCAAGGACCUCAUGCUCGUGGAGCGGCCGAUAUCUGAUUAGCUAGUUGGUAGGGUAAAAGCCUACCAAGGCAUCGAUCAGUAGCUGGUCUGAGAGGACGACCAGCCACACUGGGACUGAGACACGGCCCAUACUCCUACGGGAGGCAGCAGUGGGGAAUUUUGGACAAUGGGCGCAAGCCUGAUCCAGCAAUGCCGCGUGAGUGAAGAAGGCCUUCGGGUUGUAAAGCUCUUUUGUCAGGGAAGAAACGGUUUGGCUUAAUACGCUGAGCUAAUGACGGUACCUGAAGAAUAAGCACCGGCUAACUACGUGCCAGCAGCCGCGGUAAUACGUAGGGUGCAAGCGUUAAUCGGAAUUACUGGGCGUAAAGCGUGCGCAGGCGGUUAUGUAAGACAGAUGUGAAAUGCCCGGGCUUAACCUGGGAACUGCAUUUGUGACUGCACGGCUAGAGUGUGUCAGAGGGGGGUAGAAUUCCACGUGUAGCAGUGAAAUGCGUAGAUAUGUGGAGGAAUACCGAUGGCGAAGGCAGCCCCCUGGGAUAACACUGACGCUCAUGCACGAAAGCGUGGGGAGCAAACAGGAUUAGAUACCCUGGUAGUCCACGCCCUAAACGAUGUCUACUAGUUGUCGGGUCUUAAUUGACUUGGUAACGCAGCUAACGCGUGAAGUAGACCGCCUGGGGAGUACGGUCGCAAGAUUAAAACUCAAAGGAAUUGACGGGGACCCGCACAAGCGGUGGAUGAUGUGGAUUAAUUCGAUGCAACGCGAAAAACCUUACCUACCCUUGACAUGUCAGAGAGCUCGAAGAGAUUUGAGUGUGCUCGAAAGAGAAUCUGAACACAGGUGCUGCAUGGCUGUCGUCAGCUCGUGUCGUGAGAUGUUGGGUUAAGUCCCGCAACGAGCGCAACCCUUGUCAUUAGUUGCUACGAAAGGGCACUCUAAUGAGACUGCCGGUGACAAACCGGAGGAAGGUGGGGAUGACGUCAAGUCCUCAUGGCCCUUAUGGGUAGGGCUUCACACGUCAUACAAUGGUACAUACAGAGGGCUGCCAACCCGCGAGGGGGAGCUAAUCCCAGAAAGUGUAUCGUAGUCCGGAUUGGAGUCUGCAACUCGACUCCAUGAAGUUGGAAUCGCUAGUAAUCGCGGAUCAGCAUGUCGCGGUGAAUACGUUCCCGGGUCUUGUACACACCGCCCGUCACACCAUAGGAGCGGGUUUUACCAGAAGUAGGUAGCCUAACCGCAAGGAGGGCGCUUACCACGGUAGGAUUCGUGACUGGGGUGAAGUCGUAACAAGGUA